This 93-nucleotide transfer RNA is filed under the name Streptomyces roseolus. RNAcentral's name for it is "tRNA-Leu". The record is from RNAcentral. Lineage: Bacteria; Bacillati; Actinomycetota; Actinomycetes; Kitasatosporales; Streptomycetaceae.
GCCGCGAAGAGCGCCCGGUAGUCGGCGAGGACCCGGUCGAGGACCGGGUAGAGGAGGCGCUCCUCGGCCAGGUUCGACUGGUGGACGUAGUGC